GCUAACGCAUUAAAUGAUCCGCCUGAGUAGUAUGCUCGCAAGAGUGAAACUUAAAGGAAUUGACGGGGACCCGCACAAGCGGUGGAGCAUGUGGUUUAAUUUGAAGAUACGCGGAGAACCUUACCCACUCUUGACAUCCUUCGCAAUGCUAUAGAGAUAUAGCGGAGGUUAACGGAGUGACAGAUGGUGCAUGGUUGUCGUCAGCUCGUGUCGUGAGAUGUUUGGUCAAGUCCUGCAACGAGCGCAACCCCUAUCUUUAGUUACUAACGAGUCAUGUCGAGGACUCUAGAGAUA
This 294-nucleotide ribosomal RNA is filed under the name Mycoplasmopsis arginini. RNAcentral describes it as "Mycoplasma arginini partial 16S ribosomal RNA". It matches the Rfam family "Bacterial small subunit ribosomal RNA", at positions 851 to 1148 of the family's 1533-position model. Lineage: Bacteria; Bacillati; Mycoplasmatota; Mycoplasmoidales; Metamycoplasmataceae. The record is from RNAcentral.